CAGAUAUAAUUCAAUGGUAGAAUGAAAGCUUCCCAAGCUUUUUAUGCGGGUUCGAUUCCCGUUAUCUG
Molecule: transfer RNA, 68 nt
Filed under: bovine gut metagenome
Rfam family: tRNA
About the family: Transfer RNA (tRNA) molecules are approximately 80 nucleotides in length. Their secondary structure includes four short double-helical elements and three loops (D, anti-codon, and T loops).
Source: RNAcentral